Molecule: long non-coding RNA, 912 nt
Organism: Vicia villosa (hairy vetch)
Lineage: Eukaryota; Viridiplantae; Streptophyta; Magnoliopsida; Fabales; Fabaceae
Exons: 3
Source: RefSeq, a predicted model, not a curated record
CAAACCCUAAUUCCCUUAAUCACAAAAUUUGCCUCAUUUUUCUCUCCUCAUCCAUCCUAUCAUUAUGCUUCUUCUUCAAACUGUUUUCGACAAUUUUGAUGUGGUGGUUUCUACUUUCGGACAAAGCGGAUUUCGACGGUUUAAUGGUGUUGGCUCAAGCAAAAAAAGGGGGAGAUUUGCGGCAGUUUGGUAAGAAAAGCUUCACUUUUUAUAUUUUAGAUCUGAACAUUGUUUGUCUGUGGCUUUGGCGGAGUUGGAAAAGGGUAUACAAAACCAAAGAUGUGAAGGUUGGACAAUGAUGAACACGAUGAUGGUGAUGUUGAUCGAUGUUGUUGGGUUCGUGAUGAACGGUGUUGAACGAAUUUGGAUGAAUGAGUUGAGUUGGUUGAAGAUCUAUGAAGAUGAUGACGAAAGCUGCAAAUCUGAAUCUCGGGUGAGGUAUUUCUGAUUUUUAUUCUUGAUCUCUCUUCCUCUCUCACGAUUCUGAAGGGUUUUGAUUUUAAGGAAAAUGAUGAAUAAAUUGUUUAGGUUUUUUUUUAUGAAUGCAGGGUCGGCAUAUUUUUUGUUUGUGAUUUUGUGGUUUGAUUUUGUGAUUUUUGUUGAAAUUUAUUUGAUUUUUUCUCAAACUAUGGUAUUCGAUGUAUUUCGUUGAUAAAGUUUUGAUUUUUAUAUGUUUUGGAGACACCUUUUUGUUAUAUGCAGGUGAUGAUUUGAGUAGAGUCACUUCUGGCCACAUUCUUUUUGUGGUUUGUCUGGCCCUGUACUUUGAUAAUAUAAUCGCAAAUGCUAUGGGUGUGAGGAAAUCUGUGUUAUACUUUCUAAAUCCUCAUUAUUGGACGGGAUAGGCAGCUCGAUGCUUCUCUCGGACUCUGAUUUAAUAGGUUUCUGGGAUAGGCUCUGUGCUGCCAUUUC